AGGCGGUGCCCCGCGCACGCGGGGAGAAUAGGGAAGCGGGUGUAAAUCCCGCGCGAACUCGUCACUGUGACGGCUUACGGAUGCCCAUGCGUUUGCAGCCACUGGCCUACGGCCGGGAAGGCGGCGCAUCCUUGCCCCAGCCAGGAGACCUGCCGUGCU
This 159-nucleotide non-coding RNA is filed under the name bovine gut metagenome. The record is from RNAcentral.